RNAcentral lists this ribosomal RNA (253 nucleotides) under uncultured bacterium. RNAcentral's name for it is "partial 16S ribosomal RNA". It matches the Rfam family "Bacterial small subunit ribosomal RNA", at positions 524 to 776 of the family's 1533-position model. The record is from RNAcentral.
UACGGAGGGUGCGAGCGUUGUCCGGAAUCACUGGGCGUAAAGGGCGCGUAGGCGGCGCGGUAAGUCCGUGGUGAAAGCCCGAGGCUCAACUUCGGGCUUGCGGUCGAUACGGGCGGGCUAGAGUUCGGUAGGGGAGACUGGAAUUCCUGGUGUAGCGGUGAAAUGCGCAGAUAUCAGGAGGAACACCGGUGGCGAAGGCGGGUCUCUGGGCCGAUACUGACGCUGAGGAGCGAAAGCGUGGGGAGCGAACAGG